AUUGAACGCUGGCGGCAUGCCUAACACAUGCAAGUCGAGCGGAUGGAUGGAGCUUGCUCCUGGAUUCAGCUACGGACGGGUGAGUAAUGCCUAGGAAUCUGCCUGGUAUUGGAGGAUAACGUCCGGAAACGGGCGCUAAUACCGCAUACGUCCUGAUAGAGAAAGGGGGGGAUCUUCGGACCUCACGCUAUCAGAUGAGCCUAGGUCGGAUUAGCUAGUUGGUGGGGUAAAGGCCUACCAAGGCGACGAUCCGUAACUGGUCUGAGAGGAUGAUCAGUCACACUGGAACUGAGACACGGUCCAGACUCCUACGGGAGGCAGCAGUGGGGAAUAUUGGACAAUGGGCGAAAGCCUGACGCAGCCACGCCGCGUGUGUGAAGAAGGUCUUCGGAUCGUAAAGCACUUUAAGUUGGGAGGAAGGGCAGUAAGUUAAUACCUUGAUGUCUUGACGUUACCAACAGAAUAAGCAACGGCUAACUUCGUG
Molecule: ribosomal RNA, 484 nt
Filed under: uncultured bacterium
Lineage: Bacteria
Description: partial 16S ribosomal RNA
Rfam family: Bacterial small subunit ribosomal RNA
Source: RNAcentral